UGUAGUCUCGCACAGAUGCAUAUCAAUAAGCGGAGGAAAAGAAACUAACAAGGAUUCCCUUAGUAACGGCGAGUGAAGCGGGAAGAGCUCAAAUUUGAAAUCUUCAAGGUUUUACCUUGACGAAUUGUAGUUUAAAGAAGUGUUUUCUGCUUGAAGUUUUGGUAAAAGUUCUUUGGAAUAGGACAUCAUAGAGGGUGAGAAUCCCGUAUUUGACCAUUAUUUUCAGCUGUGUGAUACACUUUCAAAGAGUCGGAUUGUUUGGGAAUGCAGUCCAAAAUGGGUGGUAAAUUUCAUCUAAAGCUAAAUAUUGGCGAGAGACCGAUAGCGAACAAGUACCGUGAGGGAAAGAUGAAAAGAACUUUGAAAAGAGAGUUAAACAGUACGUGAAAUUGUCAAAAGGGAAGCGUUUAACACCAGUGUUGUUUUCUGAAAAUCAACCUCUGUUAGCUUUAUGCAUGUUUGUUUAGACCUAAUCAGCUAUCUUGCAUGUUCUAUUGUUUGCAGUGGUGCACUUUUCAGUUUACAGGUCAACAUCAGUUUUUUUUACCGUAAAAAAGUUAAAGAAAGGUAGCUCAUGGCUCCGGUCGUGAGUGUUAUAGUCUUUUUCCUAUGCGGUAGGAGAGACUGAGGUCUGCAGUGUAGGCUAUUUGGCUAGAUACUCAGGUGCUAUGUGAUACCAUUUCAUAAACAACUUGUUGAUUAUGUUUUGUCUAUUGCAUACUCGCUUGUACUAUCAUACCUACGCUUAGGAUGUUGAAGAUGUAGCACAUCAU
This 773-nucleotide ribosomal RNA is filed under the name uncultured Neocallimastigales. RNAcentral's name for it is "partial large subunit ribosomal RNA". It matches the Rfam family "Eukaryotic large subunit ribosomal RNA", at positions 24 to 635 of the family's 3401-position model. The record is from RNAcentral. Lineage: Eukaryota; Fungi; Neocallimastigomycota; Neocallimastigomycetes; Neocallimastigales.